This 251-nucleotide ribosomal RNA is filed under the name uncultured bacterium. RNAcentral describes it as "partial 16S ribosomal RNA". It matches the Rfam family "Bacterial small subunit ribosomal RNA", at positions 88 to 339 of the family's 1533-position model. The record is from RNAcentral.
GUGGAAAGUGGCGAACGGGUGAGGAACACGUGAGGAACCUGCCCCGAAGACCGGGACAACAUCGGGAAACCGGUGCUAAUACCGGAUGUCCUCGCCGAAGCUCAUGCUUUGGUGAGGAAAUGGAUUCCGCUUCGGGAUGGCCUCGCGGCCUAUCAGCUUGUUGGUGAGGUAACGGCUCACCAAGGCUUCGACGGGUAGCUGGUCUGAGAGGAUGUCCAGCCACACUGGGACUGAGACACGGCCCAGACUCC